Molecule: ribosomal RNA, 253 nt
Filed under: uncultured prokaryote
Description: partial 16S ribosomal RNA
Rfam family: Bacterial small subunit ribosomal RNA
Source: RNAcentral
ACGGAGGGUGCAAGCGUUAUCCGGAUUUACUGGGUUUAAAGGGUGCGUAGGUGGGCAGGUAAGUCAGUGGUGAAAUCUCCGGGCUUAACCCGGAAACUGCCAUUGAUACUAUCUGUCUUGAAUUUCCUGGAGGUAAGCGGAAUAUGUCAUGUAGCGGUGAAAUGCUUAGAUAUGACAUAGAACACCAAUUGCGAAGGCAGCUUACUACGGGAAUAUUGACACUGUGGCACGAAAGCGUGGGGAUCAAACAGGA